RNAcentral lists this ribosomal RNA (289 nucleotides) under uncultured Larsenimonas sp. Its description in RNAcentral is "partial 16S ribosomal RNA". The record is from RNAcentral. Lineage: Bacteria; Pseudomonadati; Pseudomonadota; Gammaproteobacteria; Oceanospirillales; Halomonadaceae.
CUACUCGGGUAUCUAAUCCUGUUUGCUACCCAUGCUUUCGCGCCUCAGCGUCAGUGUCAGUCCAGAAGGCCGCCUUCGCCACUGGUAUUCCUCCCGAUCUCUACGCAUUUCACCGCUACACCGGGAAUUCUACCUUCCUCUCCUGCACUCAAGUCUGCCCGUUCCGGAUGCAAUUCCCAGGUUGAGCCCGGGGCUUUCACACCCGGCGUGACAGACCGCCUACGCGCCCUUUACGCCCAGUAAUUCCGAUUAACGCUUGCACCCUCCGUAUUACCGCGGCUGCUGGCAC